CCUGGCUCAGGAUGAACGCUAGCUACAGGCUUAACACAUGCAAGUCGAGGGGCAGCAUUUCAGUUUGCUUGCAAACUGGAGAUGGCGACCGGCGCACGGGUGAGUAACACGUAUCCAACCUGCCGAUAACUCGGGGAUAGCCUUUCGAAAGAAAGAUUAAUACCCGAUGGCAUAAUUAGACCGCAUGGUCUUAUUAUUAAAGAAUUUCGGUUAUCGAUGGGGAUGCGUUCCAUUAGGCAGUUGGUGAGGUAACGGCUCACCAAACCUUCGAUGGAUAGGGGUUCUGAGAGGAAGGUCCCCCACAUUGGAACUGAGACACGGUCCAAACUCCUACGGGAGGCAGCAGUGAGGAAUAUUGGUCAAUGGACGAGAGUCUGAACCAGCCAAGUAGCGUGAAGGAUGACUGCCCUAUGGGUUGUAAACUUCUUUUAUAUGGGAAUAAAGUUUUCCACGUGUGGAAUUUUGUAUGUACCAUAUGAAUAAGGAUCGGCUAACUCCGUGCCAGCAGCCGCGGUAAUACGGAGGAUCCGAGCGUUAUCCGGAUUUAUUGGGUUUAAAGGGAGCGUAGGUGGACAGUUAAGUCAGUUGUGAAAGUUUGCGGCUCAACCGUAAAAUUGCAGUUGAUACUGGCUGUCUUGAGUACAGUAGAGGUGGGCGGAAUUCGUGGUGUAGCGGUGAAAUGCUUAGAUAUCACGAAGAACUCCGAUUGCGAAGGCAGCUCACUGGACUGCAACUGACACUGAUGCUCGAAAGUGUGGGUAUCAAACAGGAUUAGAUACCCUGGUAGUCCACACAGUAAACGAUGAAUACUCGCUGUUUGCGAUAUACAGUAAGCGGCCAAGCGAAAGCAUUAAGUAUUCCACCUGGGGAGUACGCCGGCAACGGUGAAACUCAAAGGAAUUGACGGGGGCCCGCACAAGCGGAGGAACAUGUGGUUUAAUUCGAUGAUACGCGAGGAACCUUACCCGGGCUUAAAUUGCAUUUGAAUAUAUUGGAAACAGUAUAGCCGUAAGGCAAAUGUGAAGGUGCUGCAUGGUUGUCGUCAGCUCGUGCCGUGAGGUGUCGGCUUAAGUGCCAUAACGAGCGCAACCCUUAUCUUUAGUUACUAACAGGUCAUGCUGAGGACUCUAGAGAGACUGCCGUCGUAAGAUGUGAGGAAGGUGGGGAUGACGUCAAAUCAGCACGGCCCUUACGUCCGGGGCUACACACGUGUUACAAUGGGGGGUACAGAAGGCAGCUACCUGGUGACAGGAUGCUAAUCCCAAAAGCCUCUCUCAGUUCGGAUCGAAGUCUGCAACCCGACUUCGUGAAGCUGGAUUCGCUAGUAAUCGCGCAUCAGCCAUGGCGCGGUGAAUACGUUCCCGGGCCUUGUACACACCGCCC
RNAcentral lists this ribosomal RNA (1383 nucleotides) under uncultured bacterium. Its description in RNAcentral is "bacterial SSU rRNA". It matches the Rfam family "Bacterial small subunit ribosomal RNA", at positions 18 to 1395 of the family's 1533-position model. The record is from RNAcentral.